UACGUAGGGUGCGAGCGUUAAUCGGAAUUACUGGGCGUAAAGCGUGCGCAGGCGGUUUUGUAAGCCGGAUGUGAAAUCCCCGGGCUUAACCUGGGAAUGGCAUUCGGGACUGCAAGGCUGGAGUGCGGCAGAGGAGACUGGAAUUCCUGGUGUAGCAGUGAAAUGCGUAGAUAUCAGGAGGAACACCGAUGGCGAAGGCAGGGCUCUGGGCUGACACUGACGCUCAUGCACGAAAGCGCGGGGAGCAAACAGG
RNAcentral lists this ribosomal RNA (253 nucleotides) under uncultured bacterium. RNAcentral's name for it is "partial 16S ribosomal RNA". It matches the Rfam family "Bacterial small subunit ribosomal RNA", at positions 524 to 776 of the family's 1533-position model. The record is from RNAcentral.